This is a long non-coding RNA of Rhinolophus ferrumequinum (greater horseshoe bat), 1911 nucleotides long. RefSeq lists it as uncharacterized. The transcript is spliced from 3 exons. Lineage: Eukaryota; Metazoa; Chordata; Mammalia; Chiroptera; Rhinolophidae. The record is from RefSeq and is a predicted model, not a curated record.
UUGGAUAAGAUAUUUGGAGGGUCUUUGGGAUAGAGUGAAUAUUUGUGACCAAAACGGCAGAGGGUGGGCAUUAUCUGUAAAUAUCCACUCUCUCCCCUUUUUGUGCAUCUCCAUGGGGCAAGUAUACCUCCCUGCCCUUGACUUCGGGCUUCAUUGUUUUACCUAUUUUGGCAAAUAAGAUAUUAACGGAUGUGACAUGAGCAAGGGCUUGAUAUGUGCUUGUGCUAUUGAGCUUGUUGUCUUGCAUUUUUGUCAUUGCCAUGAGAAAAACAUGACAUGGGCCCAGGAGAAAGAGAGAUAUGUAGAGCUGCCCUGGAUGACCUGUAGACCUGUAGCCUGAAGUGAAGCCACCUCAAAUGACCCUCAAAUAUAUGUUCCUACUAUGUUCCUGGUAAACCAACGAGACACGGCUUCAGCCUUCCUGGAGACAGACAUUCAGUAAGUUGGAUGUCCUCCUUCUCCCCCUGCUCUGGCUGCAAACAACCCGGAGCCACUCUGUCUGCCACGCUGUGCUCUGUUUAAAGGAACAGACACCCAUUUCUCACAGAAGAACCAUUAGGUAAACAAUAAUAUAUUUUUUUAAGCCCAGAAAGUGGCUCAACAUACUCAGUGUGGAGUGGAUGUCUCUUGCAUUCCCUAGCUAGUUUCAGGACAAAGGUCUCCAGAGAAAGGAUGCUUCUUUUCUUUUCUUUAAAAGAGUAAAAGAGGACAACAGGAAACCUUGGCUAAGAGGGGCUGGGAGGCCUGAGGCCAGCAGACAGGAGACUUGUCUUGGUCUAAAGAGCCCCAGGAGGCUGCUGCUGGCCACCCCUGGCCAGAGUGGGCAGGAGAAGAUGGCUUUCACUCUGAUAUACCCUGUCCCCCAAAUGCACCUUCUGUUUGCUGAGUACUCUACCACUGUGCAAAGGCCCCCCCAUGAUGUGACCUCACUGUACCCUCCUAAUGACACCCAGAGUUAAGCAUGAUUACCCCCACUUUACAUGAGGAAACUGAGGCCUAGAGGAUGAAGGAACUUUUCCAAGGUCACACAGAUUUAAGCUCAUGUCAGGACUCAAAGCCAAGACUCCAAAGUUCAUUACCAAACCACGUUCAACAUUGACUUCCUGGAUCCCAGCUUUUUGAAGAAAUUGAUCUCACCCUAUAGUCUUGCAAGAGAAGAAAGGACCCUUUUUCUAUAUCUGGGGGCAGGAUCUGGAGGAAUGAGCUGCUCCGGGUAAUCGGUGGGGUCAGGAAUAGGGCUGAGGUCGCCAGGGUCCUGAAUUAAAUAUGCAAUGCUGGUAGAUUCAAUAAAAGAAAAAUCCAAAAAACAAGAUGCAGUCAGCACCUUCAUCUCCUUGCGUGGGUGCUCCACUCUGAGACUCUAGUGAAUGCGUCCCUCCCGCCACGCUCCGUCUUUUAGCACCAUCUCCACAGCUGCCAUCCAUGGAGGCCGAUGGCUGCGCACUCAUGUUCCCAUCUGUCUGUAACAACAGAGACAUAAUUACCAGAAAAAUAAAGCCGCAGAAUGUGUUUCUGAAACCCAGUAAAAGACAAUGUUUUGGGCUUCUUCAAAAUAUAGUGACUAUCCCCUGAUGGGGAUAAAUCCACUGGGAGAAGCGGUGUGGGGGGAAGGGUAGAAUGCCUCUGCCUUUUGGUGAAGGCAGACCUGGAUUUGAGACCAGUGGGUCCAUGAGAAACCCCUUCCUGCUUAUGGUCCUUGUUUCUUCAUCGGUCACACCUGGUUGACGUGGGGAAGGAAGGAGAGGUUGUGCUGGUUUCUCUAUGCUCUGUCUUCUUUUAAUCUCACGGCAACCCACGGAGGGGCAGCAUUAUUAUUAUUUUUUUUUUUUCAUUUUCUACAUUCUUUUUUUAUUUUUAAUUUAUUGGGGUGACAAUUGUUAGUAAAAUUACAUAGACUUCAGGUGUACAAUU